RNAcentral lists this long non-coding RNA (303 nucleotides) under Oryza sativa tropical japonica subgroup. Its description in RNAcentral is "lncRNA OsKeNa_08g0001480". The record is from RNAcentral. Lineage: Eukaryota; Viridiplantae; Streptophyta; Magnoliopsida; Poales; Poaceae.
GGGCGCUUGAGAGAGAGGAUUGCCUUGAAGAUCCCCACAAUCACGCGGCGAGGUGAAGGUGAGAAGCGGCAGCGGCGCGAGGAAGAAGACCGGAGGGUGAGGGGUGGCCACUCUGGCCAUCUCCUUCUUGGAUUCGGUGGGGGAGAAGGGAGUUGGAGGCGCAGGAGGCCGGCGGAGGCGGUCGGCGAGUGGCCAGUGGAGGCGAGCAAGGCGAUGGCUGGCGAAGGUGCUAUCGAGGUGGAGUUGGCUGUUGAGGUGGCUGGAGAAGCUGUUGGCCGGCGGGGUUUUAGUGGUGAUGGGUGA